Molecule: non-coding RNA, 89 nt
Filed under: Streptococcus sp.
Lineage: Bacteria; Bacillati; Bacillota; Bacilli; Lactobacillales; Streptococcaceae
Description: Glycine sequence
Rfam family: Glycine riboswitch aptamer (bases 1-79)
About the family: This family represents the bacterial glycine riboswitch.
Source: RNAcentral
UGACGUUUUUCAGGAGAGAAAAGAUAGACCAUCUUUCACCGAAGGAGUUGCACUCUCAGGUGUCAUAAGAGAAUGACAGGACUGAUUAA